AUACGGAGGAUGCGAGCGUUAUCCGGAUUUAUUGGGUUUAAAGGGAGCGUAGGCGGGAGCUUAAGUCAGCGGUUAAAUGGUGCGGCUCAACCGUGCCCUGCCGUUGAAACUGGGUUUCUUGAGAGUGCAAGAGGCCGAUGGAAUUCAUGGUGUAGCGGUGAAAUGCUUAGAUAUCAUGAAGAACUCCGAUUGCGAAGGCAGUCCGCUGGGGCACGUCUGACGCUGAUGCUCGAAGGUGCGGGAAUCAAACAGGAUUAGAUACCCUGGUAGUCCGCACGGUAAACGAUGAUUACCCGCUGUCGGCGGCCAAGCGAAAGCGAUAAGUAAUCCACCUGGGGAGUACGCCGGCAACGGUGAAACUCAAAGGAAUUGACGGGG
Molecule: ribosomal RNA, 378 nt
Filed under: uncultured bacterium
Lineage: Bacteria
Description: partial 16S ribosomal RNA
Rfam family: Bacterial small subunit ribosomal RNA
Source: RNAcentral